GAGAACAGAAGGGAGAAAAGUUUCAGCCACACUAAAUUUCCCCUUAAAGUUAAAGACUAGAUCCUGGUAAAGAUAAAAGUUAUUCACAAAGCAUCUUAGCCCUUAAGAGAGCUCCUAAAGUAAAGAUCUAAGGAUGAAGAGUUUCUCACAGAGAAGAAAGAAGGAGAGAAAGGUGAUCAUAACAAUUCCAGCUCUAUCACAGCCUCAUAUUAAUAUCAGUCAGAUUAAGUAGACUCUUACAGUUACCAGCAUGGUGAAUAAACAUGAGCACAUUAAUAUUAGAAAAAUACACAA
This is a long non-coding RNA of Labrus mixtus (cuckoo wrasse), 294 nucleotides long. RefSeq lists it as uncharacterized. Lineage: Eukaryota; Metazoa; Chordata; Actinopteri; Labriformes; Labridae. The record is from RefSeq and is a predicted model, not a curated record. The transcript is spliced from 2 exons.